Molecule: ribosomal RNA, 460 nt
Filed under: uncultured bacterium
Lineage: Bacteria
Description: partial 16S ribosomal RNA
Rfam family: Bacterial small subunit ribosomal RNA
Source: RNAcentral
CCUACGCGUGGCUGCAGUGAGGAAUAUUGGUCAAUGGACGAGAGUCUGAACCAGCCAAGUAGCGUGAAGGAUGACUGCCCUAUGGGUUGUAAACUUCUUUUAUAUGGGAAUAAAAUGUUCCACGUGUGGGAUUUUGUAUGUACCAUAUGAAUAAGGAUCGGCUAACUCCGUGCCAGCAGCCGCGGUAAUACGGAGGAUCCGAGCGUUAUCCGGAUUUAUUGGGUUUAAAGGGAGCGUAAGUGGAUUGUUAAGUCAGUUGUAAAAGUUUGCGGCUCAACCGUAAAAUUGCAGUUGAAACUGGCAGUCGUGAGUACAGUAGAGGUGGGCAGAAUUCGUGGUGUAGCGGUGAAAUGCUUAGAUAUCACGAAGAACUCCGAUUGCGAAGGCAGUUCACUGGACUGCAACUGACACUGAGGCUCGAAAGUGUGGGUAUCAAACAGAAUUAGCUACCCGGGUAGUC